Molecule: long non-coding RNA, 7183 nt
Filed under: Glycine max (soybean)
Lineage: Eukaryota; Viridiplantae; Streptophyta; Magnoliopsida; Fabales; Fabaceae
Description: long non-coding RNA (GMAX_LNC001883)
Source: RNAcentral
UGGAGAUGGUGGAGGUGGAGAUUGGAGGAAGAGAGUUGUAGUAGUAGUAGGGUGAAUGAGGCUUAGGAGAUGGUGGAGGUAGAGAUUUAUAGUAUUAAGAUGUUUGAGAAUAAAUACGUAUGUUGAAGAUCUAAUUUAUUAUGUUAUUAAUUUGUAAAAAAUUAUUCUUUAUUUUAUUAUCAUAUUCAUUAUUAAAUUGUUAAUUUGAUAAGUCAUUGAUUAAAAUUAGAUGUUUGUUAUCAUGAUAGAGAUUAUGAUAAUGAGAAACAAAUUUUUUAUAAUUUUAAUUCAAAUUAUUCUUGAUAGUAUGAUUAUCGUGAAUAGGACAUCAAUAAUCAUGAUAGAUUAAUAUAUAUGUAAUGAUCUUUAUUGAAUAAAGAUUAAUAAAUUUUUAUUGAAUAAUGAUCUUUAACACGAGAUUAUCAUAGUAAUUAAUAAGUUAUUGGUAUAUUUUAAUUUCGGAUGCCUAAUGUCUUAGAACACUAGUUGAAUGAAUAUUAGAUAUGAUUAAAUACUUGUAAAAUUAAUGAUUAAUCAAGAAGGAAUCCAUCAAUUCUAGGUAAUGAGUUUGAGUUCUAUUUUAGAAUUAAGACAUUGACUAAGGCAAUUGAAUGAAAGAAGAAAAUAGUUUCUUAAGUCAUUCAUGUGUUAGCUUAUUAGAGUUUGACAAUAAUACUAUACUCUAGAGUUAACCUAUGAUGGAAGCAAAUAUUAUAUUCUUCUUCUAUUGGUUCUCGAAGGGAAAAAGAUUUUGUUUCAGGUUAUCCGGACUUUAAGGAGUGUUGUUAAACGCCUAACUUGAUUAAUAAAUUAAUUAUGAUUAAUUUAUUAUCAAUUUAGUAUUGAACCUACAAGGUCACACACAAACGAGUAUUUCAAUAUUUACAAAAGAAAAUAAUUUAUUUUGAUAAUUAAAUUAGAGAAUUUAAUUUAAUCAAAUAAAUAUUUUAGUGAAAUAUUAUUAUAUUUUUUGCUAGGACCAAUAAUAUAAUUAAUAUAUAAAAAGGGAAUAUUAUUUUAUAAUUGUGAAGAUGUCCAUAAAAUAAGAAUAAUAUUCAAUUGCUAUGUAUCAAGGAUGUGAUUAAUUAUUGUAAUUAGUUAUGUGAUUAAUUAUGAAUUAUCUUUAUCUUAAAUCAGUAAGCUUCUUAAAAUAAAAUAUAUGAGAUAAUAUUUUUUUUAUAAAGACAAAUAUAAAUGAAAUUAUUUUAUAUAUUUUCUUUUUUUUCUCACCCAAAUCCAUAUCUCUUUAAUAUUAUGAAUAAAAGUAUCUAUAUGAGGCAAAGCGUACUAAAUAAAGACUGAAAAAGGUUCAAGUCUAGUUUUAGACGUGAAAAGUAGAAAAAAAAUUAUUCUUUAGAGUUUCAUCCAUCAAAGAAUUUGAUAAUAAAGAUUGACCUGAGUAUAGAUACAAGUAGAGUUUUUAGACUAUUAAAAAAAAUGUGUUGCUUCAAAACCUACAUUUUGAUGCAUUAAUUUAUUAUUUAUUUAUUUAUUAUUAUUGUAUAUUUUGAAUAUAAAAUAAAUCCUAAUUUUUUUCCUACAAUUAUUAGAAACAUUUUUAUGUAACUAUCAUACUACACACACGAGGAUAUGAGGAUAUGGUGAAUGAGGUGGUGGAAACUUAUAAUAGUAAGUUGGAAGAGAUGGUGGAGGAGAAGAUUUGUAGGAAUAAGGUAUUGGACGACUUCAUUUUGUGGAAAGAGUCAUGAUUUAAUUUGUUUUUCCUCUCCUUCUCUUAAAAUUUAGUUAUGCCCGUAUAUCUUAUUGAAAACCACAUUUUUUUAGUCUUUCUGGACUGGAUACCCCUACCCCUGGCCAUGAUCAUAAUUCAUAACUAUUAUAUAUAUAUUACACGUAUUUUAUUUGUAACAAAUGGUAUAUCGAUGAGUUUUCUGAAUGUUUGAUCACAUGGAAAAUUUCUGAACGCGUCCUAGAGACUGAAACAGUUUUAUUUGCGCAAUAUAGAGUGUCGGUUUACUAAAAGAACGCACAGAUAGAUAUAUAUCUAUUCCAAAAUGAAGCGUAUGUAUACACGGAAUGAAAAAUGAUUAGUAAUAAUAAAUUAAUUUUACGAAAAUUUAUAAUUCUUUUAUUUUUUAUCUCUCUUAGUCGUUAAAAAGAUUAUGUAAAAUAUUGUAUGAGGACAGUUUCUUAAUAGAAACAUUCUAAUGCAUGUGAUACGUACGGAAUUAUUAUAAUUACAGUUGCACGAAGUAUAUUAUUAAUUAAUAUUCUCCUGUUAACAACCUUUUUUAUUGAGUAGUGUUUUUUCAUUGGAGGAAAUCCUUAAAUAUAUUUUUGGUGAAUCUAAGUUUACUUAAGCGGUACAUUAAUUAGAAAAAAAUAUUUUUUCCCCUAUUUUGUUUAUAUAAGUAAAAAAGUGAGAAUUAUAUGAACGUGCGAAGUGUGUGUAUGAGAUAAUAUUUGUUUUACAUAAUAUACCCUAAAUCAUAAAAGAAGCUUCACUGUGUAACUUAAAUUAAAAUUUGUAUAUCUCCCCCAUGUGCGUCUGACUACUGUUACCAUGCAUAUUCUAAUUAAGAACCCUGUUAGUGCCUUUCUUCUUUUUAUCCUCUUUCCUUCAUGAUCACCAUUGUUAAAUGGCAGUCAAUUCCAUGUACGUAUUGCAUCUCUGAAUUCAAGUCUAGCUGUCUCAUCGAGUUUAAUUUGUGAUAAUUGGUCUCAAGUAAAAAAGACCACUAAUUUGAUCAUUAAAUAUAUAUAUAUAUAUAUAUAUAUAUAUAUAGACAUAUAUAUAUAUAUAUAUAUAUAUAUAUAUAUAUAUAUAUAUAUAUAUAUAUAUAUAUAUAUAUAUAUAUAUAUAUAUAUAUAUAUAUAUAUAUAUAUAUAUAUAUAUAUUGAACAAUGCUAAUUAAAUACCAUAUAUAGUCAGAAAUAGAUCAGUGGGGGGUGCAUGUAUGUUAAGUUAGAAAGAGAUAAGAUCGUGGUUGUGGCAUAUAGACGUGCAUGGGGUGGUGUGGCUUAUAUGAUAUGAGAAAAUCAAGUAAUUGCAGGCAUUUUUUUUAAAAAAUAAAAUGACUUCAUUAAUCGUCUCCAACAUCAGUUAUAUAUAUUGACAUGUUUUUUAAAAUAAUCAAAACUGUCUCGCUCCCAAAUCCCUCUCACUUCUUUUCUUCCCUCUCACUGGCUUAGGGAUUUUCACUUUCGAAAAACAUGACUUAGGCCAUAAUUGAAGCCAUUAGACAGUAAUAUAUCAUAUGAGCAGGGGCCAAUCCAAACUCAAAUGGCUGUGAGGACCGAUAAUAAAAAAUAAAAUUCAUCUAACACAUCAUAAAAAUAUAUAUUCAUAAAUUAAUGUUUUAAAAUGUUAAUUACAAUAAUAAUCUAUUAAAACACGGGACCUUAUUCUUAUAUGUACUAAAUUUUUUAUCAAUUCUUCAAUGUAUAUUAACAAAAUGUGAAUCAAGAAUCCAUCUUUCAUCUUCUUUAAUAAUUAUAGAUUAACAAAAUUUGAGAAAAAUAAAACCUACUAUAUAAUAAGUAGAAUUAGUCAAAUAUAAUAUUCGGAUAAGAUAUUUUACAAAAAAAGAAAUAAAAUUACUAUUGAUUUUAUAAUUUAAAAUUACAGAAAAUAAAAAUUGAUGGUAUAAUAACAAAAAUUGUUAAAAAAUAAUAUUUAAAUAUUUUUUUUAAAAAAAGACAAAAUUGCUAUUGAUUUUAUAGUUUGAAAAAAAAGAGAUAAAAACAAUUAUAUAAAUUGAUGGAUUUGAAUCCAUCCAUUUUUUUUUAUGGAUAAAUUAGAUGAAUUUAUUGUGGAUGAAUUAAUUGGAUAAUGGAUAAAUGAAUUCAUUUGUCACCACUAGCCUGGGACCUAGUCAUGUCCACCAUAGUGGAAAAGUUAUUUUGACCAUUGGAUUUAAAUUUUUCUUGAGAUAAGUGCAGGCUUAUCUUAAGACAAGUUACACUGGAUUAUUAUUAUUAUUAUUAUUAUUAUUAUUAUUAUUUUCCUUAAAAAGUGUUAUUCUUUCCUGUUCUAGUUUAUCGCCCCUUUCUUUCUCUCUCCGACUCUCCCUUCCAUCUACUUAUUCUCCUCCUCCCCUUUUUCAAAAUGUCAUGCUUCUUCGGUGACCUCAACAACUUCUUUGUCAUCAAGCUCCUCGUCGGACACGUAGUUAGCUAUGGUAGGAUUUGAAUACGAAAGAAUGGGCUUCAACGUCCACAAAAUGCUGAUUGGUGCGAUUGUUACUUUAAUGCAAGUGUAGGUAGGUUUGGAGCUUUGAUGUAGGUUUGGGAUAUGUGUGUGUGUGUGGAAAGAAACACGACCUAAAUUUAGGGGAUAUGUAGAUUAUUAUGCUUUUUUAUGCAAAUAUUGACAAAUUUAUUGCAAACAACACAAAAAGAUAUAUUAAAAGAAUUUCACAAUAAUUUGAAUGAAAUCAUACACAAUCAACCAUAUUAAUCUACAAAGAAACAAAUAAGAAAGCUCUAAAAGCAGCCUGAAUUGAUAUCAACAUUUCUAAUCUUGCUUCCUUGUCUUGAAUCUUUUUGAUUUGUCGCUUCCUUGAACUUAGUAAGAACAACACUUGAAAAAUGGCCACCAAAUAAAUAGAAGCAACCUCAUAUGAGUCAUGAAGAUCGUAGCUUAGAGGUGAUACACUCAGACUCUUAUUCAAAGAACUUGUAUAACAAAUUAUAUGCUUAACUCUGCUCCAAAUGGAACGGAAAUUUAUUCCACAAUGAAUACUAGAACCUGAAAUAAAAUAAAAGUUUUCAAUACUUCUCAGAGUUUAUAAAUGCAUAUAAAAUAGACAUUUAUCUANNNNNNNNNNNNNNNNNNNNNNNNNNNNNNNNNNNNNNNNNNNNNNNNNNNNNNNNNNNNNNNNNNNNNNNNNNNNNNNNNNNNNNNNNNNNNNNNNNNNNNNNNNNNNNNNNNNNNNNNNNNNNNNNNNNNNNNNNNNNNNNNNNNNNNNNNNNNNNNNNNNNNNNNNNNNNNNNNNNNNNNNNNNNNNNNNNNNNNNNNNNNNNNNNNNNNNNNNNNNNNNNNNNNNNNNNNNNNNNNNNNNNNNNNNNNNNNNNNNNNNNNNNNNNNNNNNNNNNNNNNNNNNNNNNNNNNNNNNNNNNNNNNNNNNNNNNNNNNNNNNNNNNNNNNNNUGGUGAUGGUGAUGGUGGCGGGGGAGAUUUAUAGUAAUAUGGAGGAGGUGAUGGUGAUGGUGGAGGAGGGCUCUUGUAGUAAUAAGAAGGUGGGGGAGGAGAUUUGUAAUAGUAUGUUGGUGGUGGUGGAGGUGGUGACUUAUAGUAGUAAGGAGGGUGUGGGUGCGGUGAGGGUGAAGGGGGUGGGGGAGAGUUGUAAUAAUAUGGUUUGUGAUAAGGAGUAGGGGAAGGCUUGGGCUUGGGCUUUUCGCAAUCAUAUGACUUUUCAGGAGCAUAAGCAAAUGGCUUAGCCUUGAGCACAACUUCAUACUUAUCCUUGGACUUCACCUUCAAUUUGGUUCCCUCAUUAAGCUUGGUGGGUAUGUUACAGCGUGAAUCCUUAGGAGGAGCAUGGAGUUUAGCCUUGCAGACUGUGGCUCCAUAUUUCACAUAGUCAAAGCCUUCAACAGUGAUGCUGUACUUUCCAUUGCUCUUAGUUUUACCAUAAGCUUUUAUGGUCUUGCUCCCAACUUCACAAGUCACUUCGACCGUGGCACCUAAUUAACGAUGCCAUUAAAUGUGUGGAUCGCACAUGUUAUUGACAAAUCAAUCUAACAUAUAAAACCAUGACAUUAUUGUUUUCUUUAAUUUUAACGGAAGGAAAUGUUUUGUGAACACAAAAUGGGAUAAUAAAGUUAUUUCUUAUAACAUUAUGAUGUGUUUUUAAAACACGUGUACGAAAAAAAAGAAGCAUGUGUUACAUUAAUAAAUCUUUAUUUUUAAAGGUUUAAAUAAUAUAAAUAAAAUUAAAAUAGUUAACCUAUCCUAGCUUUUUCAUAUUUUGAUUGUUGGCUUCAUUGAUUACAUAAGAAAUAGUCGAUUCUAAACAAUAUUUUCUAUUUUCCAACAAAAAUUGUAUUUUUUUUUAUUGAAAUUCCAACUAAAGUCCUCUUCAAAAAAAAAUUGACAACUUUCUGUUUGAAAAGGGUAAUAUAGGUACUUUAAAAAGUAGUAUAUGUUUAGGUUGGUCAUUUGUUUAAUUAGUUAGCAUAGAUCAAGAUUCUCAAAAAUAUUUUUUUGUUAAAAUAUUUUCUCAAAUUGAAACAUGUUUUAUUUCUUAAUUGAAAUGAUAAUUACAAAAAAAAACUAGUUGACUAAAUAAAAAAAGGAGAAAUUAUAACUGUAAAAUUAUUUUAUAUUAGUUUUUUUUACAAAUUUUAUAGAGAAAAGAAAAAAAUGAGAAAAUAUCAAAUAAUUAAAUGAUUUAAUAGAAAAAAUAAAAAAAUAUGACUAAAAUACUAUAAGAAUAUUAUAUUGUAUUAAAAACAACUGUUUAUGUAUAAAUGCAGUUGAACUUCUCUAGACACAACAACACACACAUAACAAUAUCGAUGUAAUUAUACAAAUAAAAAUAUGAGCUUGAAAAAGAAAAAUUAAUUAAAGAAACAUAUAUGGCAGCCAAUGUCCCAAAUUAAAAUUUUGAGAAAAACAAAAGUACAGAUUAAUAUUACCAAAAAGUAACAUUUUUGAAGUAUUCAUAAUAUUAUUAUUGUGAAUGUAUUAGAAUGAAAUAGUAAAAAAAUAAAAGUAAUGUAGGUACCUUUGAGGUGUUUCUUGUUGUGCGACUUUUGGGGGUAUUUCCAGUCAUAACAUCUAUAACAAUAGACUUUACCCACAAUCUUAACAAUCAAUGGGUGAUGAUAUGGGUGAGGGUGAGGAUAUGGAGUGUAUGGAGGAGGCUUAGGAGAUGGUGGAGGCAGAGAUUUAUAGUAGUAAGGCACAUGAGGAGGAUACGGUGAAGGAGGAGGUGGAGACUUAUAAUAGUAAGGUGGAGGAGGUGAAGGAGAUGGUGGAGGAGGAGAUUUGUAGUAGUAAGGUGGUGGAGGAGAUGGUGAAGGAGGAGGCGGAGACUUGUAGUAAUAUGGAGGAGGGGGUGAGGGAGAUGGAGGAGGAGGAGAUUUGUAGUAGUAUGGUGUUGGAGCUGGGUGACUUCUCAGGUGGGGGAGGAGACUUGUAGUAGUAUGGUGGUGGUGGUGAUGGUGAAGGUGGUGGUGGGGACUUGUAGUAGUAAGGAGGUGGAGGUGAUGGAGAG